RNAcentral lists this long non-coding RNA (619 nucleotides) under Pongo abelii (Sumatran orangutan). RNAcentral describes it as "lincRNA". Lineage: Eukaryota; Metazoa; Chordata; Mammalia; Primates; Hominidae. The record is from RNAcentral.
UUGUCUGGAGUGCAGUGGCUAGAGUGGAGUGGCUAUUCACAGCUGAGUUUGCAGAGUAAACCACUACCCUGAAAUCUGGAGAGGCAGGUGCACCCAUAGAGUCUCAGCUGAGAUCCAAUUACCUGAAAUAGAAGCUGCCAUUAGGAACACUUAAAUGUUUUGGAGGCUGGAGUUCACCAUUCAGCAUCUGGCAAGAGCUUGGGUAUCAACCAUUUCUGCUUUGAAGAUGGUGCCUUUUCACUGCGUCUUCACAUAGCAGAAGGGAUAAAUGAGCUCCAUUGGGCCUCUUUUAUAAGGGCACUAAUCCCAUUCAUGAGAGUUCCGUGCUCAAGACCUAAUCACUUCCUAAAAGCCCCAUCUCUUAAUACUAUUGCACUAGGGAUUAGGAUUCAACAUUUGGGGAGAACACAAACAUUUAGGCCAUAGCACAGAGCCAGUUCUGCUGCGACACAGAAUCACUUGCUCCAUCUAAUACAUUGAUGAUGAUUAAUUUGUAUGUGUACCUUCCAAAAAAGAUGGUCGUGUUUGAACGGAGGCCUUCUGGACAGGAAAAUAUGGAGAGUGCAUGCUUUGGAUUCAAGACUGGGAAUGAGGGACCAGAAACCUGUUCUGUGGCUGU